GCUUAGUUUGGCUAGAUAUGAAAUUCUGGGUUGAAAAUUCUUUUCUAUAAGAAUGUUGAAUAUUGACCCCUACUCUCUUCUGGCUUAUAGGGUUUCUACCAAGAGGUCUACUUUAGUCUGAUGGACUUUCCUUUGUGGAUAACCCAACCUUUCUCUCUGGCUGCCCUUAACAUUUUUUUUUUCAUUUCAAUCUUGGUGGAUCUGAAAAUUAUGUGUGUUGGGGUUGCUCUUCUCGAGGAUAUCUUUGUGGUGUUCUCUGUAUUUCUUGAAUUUGAAUGCUGGCCUGCCUUGCUAGGUUGGACAAGUGCUCCUAGAUAAUAUCCUGAAGAGUGUUUUUCAACAUGGUUCCAUUCUCCCCAUCACCAUCAGGUACUCCAAUCAAACGUAGGUUUGGUCUCUUCACAUAGUCGGAUACUUCUUGGAGGCUUAGUUCGUUCCUUUUUAUUCUUUUU
Molecule: long non-coding RNA, 452 nt
Organism: Sapajus apella (tufted capuchin)
Lineage: Eukaryota; Metazoa; Chordata; Mammalia; Primates; Cebidae
Exons: 2
Source: RefSeq, a predicted model, not a curated record